AUUGAACGCUGGCGGCAGGCCUAACACAUGCAAGUCGAACGGUAACAGGAAGCAGCUUGCUGCUUCGCUGACGAGUGGCGGACGGGUGAGUAAUGUCUGGGAAGCUGCCUGAUGGAGGGGGAUAACUACUGGAAACGGUAGCUAAUACCGCAUAAUGUCGCAAGACCAAAGAGGGGGACCUUCGGGCCUCUUGCCAUCGGAUGUGCCCAGAUGGGAUUAGCUUGUUGGUGGGGUAACGGCUCACCAAGGCGACGGUCCCUAGCUGGUCUGAGAGGAUGCCAGCCCCACUGGAAAUUAGACAACGUGCCGACUCCCAAGGGAGGCCGCAGGGGGGAAUAUUGCCACAUUGGGGGAAGCCCUAUGCAGCCCUGCCGCGGGUAUUAAGAAGGGCCUUCGGUUUUUAAAUUCCUUCCGGCGGGAGGAAGGGAGUUAAGGUAAUACCCUUGCCCCUUGACCUUACCCCCAGAAGGAGGCACGGCUAACUCCGUG
This 489-nucleotide ribosomal RNA is filed under the name uncultured bacterium. RNAcentral describes it as "partial 16S ribosomal RNA". It matches the Rfam family "Bacterial small subunit ribosomal RNA", at positions 30 to 507 of the family's 1533-position model. The record is from RNAcentral.